CCCUACGGGGUGCAGCAGGCGCGAACACUUUACAAUGCGGGAAACCGCGAUAAGGGAACCCCGAGUGCCAGCAUCAAAUGUUGGCUGUCCGGAUGAUUAAAAAUCACUUGUUAGCAAGGGCCGGGCAAGACCGGUGCCAGCCGCCGCGGUAACACCGGCGGCCCGAGUGGUAGCCGUUUUUAUUGGGUCUAAAGGGUCCGUAGCCGGCCUGAUAAGUCCUUUGGGAAAUCUGGCAGCUUAACUGUCAGGCUUCUAAGGGAUACUGUCAGGCUUGGGACCGGAAGAGGUAAGGGGUACUCCAGGGGUAGGAGUGAAAUCUUGUAAUCCCUGGGGGACCAUCUGUGGCGAAGGCGCCUUACCAGAACGGGUCCGACGGUGAGGGACGAAAGCUAGGGGAGCAAACCGGAUUAGAUACCCGGGUAGUCCUAGCUGUAAACGAUGCUCGCUAGGUGUCAGACACGGUGCGACCGUGUUUGGUGCCGCAGGGAAGCCGUUAAGCGAGCCACCUGGGAAGUACGGUCGCAAGGCUGAAACUUAAAGGAAUUGGCGGGGGAGCAC
This 558-nucleotide ribosomal RNA is filed under the name uncultured archaeon. RNAcentral's name for it is "bacterial SSU rRNA". It matches the Rfam family "Archaeal small subunit ribosomal RNA", at positions 321 to 879 of the family's 1478-position model. The record is from RNAcentral.